GACGAACGCUGGCGGCGUGCUUAACACAUGCAAGUCGAACGGAAAGGCCCUGCUUUUGUGGGGUGCUCGAGUGGCGAACGGGUGAGUAACACGUGAGUAACCUGCCCUUGACUUUGGGAUAACUUCAGGAAACUGGGGCUAAUACCGGAUAGGAGCUCCUGCUGCAAGGUGGGGGUUGGAAAGUUUCGGCGGUUGGGGAUGGGCUCGCGGCUUAUCAGCUUGUUGGUGGGGUAGUGGCUUACCAAGGCUUUGACGGGUAGCCGGCCUGAGAGGGUGACCGGCCACAUUGGGACUGCGAUACGGCGCAGACUCCUACGGGAGGCAGCAGUGGGGAAUAUUGCACAAUGGGCGGAAGCCUGAUGCAGCAACGCCGCGUGCGGGAUGACGGCCUUCGGGUUGUAAACCGCUUUCGCCUGUGACGAAGCGUGAGUGACGGUAAUGGGUAAAGAAGCACCGGCUAACUACGUG
This 468-nucleotide ribosomal RNA is filed under the name uncultured bacterium. RNAcentral's name for it is "partial 16S ribosomal RNA". It matches the Rfam family "Bacterial small subunit ribosomal RNA", at positions 28 to 507 of the family's 1533-position model. The record is from RNAcentral.